Molecule: ribosomal RNA, 383 nt
Filed under: Escherichia coli
Lineage: Bacteria; Pseudomonadati; Pseudomonadota; Gammaproteobacteria; Enterobacterales; Enterobacteriaceae
Description: bacterial LSU rRNA
Rfam family: Bacterial large subunit ribosomal RNA
Source: RNAcentral
CAAGGGUAUGGCUGUUCGCCAUUUAAAGUGGUACGCGAGCUGGGUUUAGAACGUCGUGAGACAGUUCGGUCCCUAUCUGCCGUGGGCGCUGGAGAACUGAGGGGGGCUGCUCCUAGUACGAGAGGACCGGAGUGGACGCAUCACUGGUGUUCGGGUUGUCAUGCCAAUGGCACUGCCCGGUAGCUAAAUGCGGAAGAGAUAAGUGCUGAAAGCAUCUAAGCACGAAACUUGCCCCGAGAUGAGUUCUCCCUGACUCCUUGAGAGUCCUAAAGGAACGUUGAAGACGACGACGUUGAUAGGCCGGGUGUGUAAGCGCAGCGAUGCGUUGAGCUAACCGGUACUAAUGAACCGUGAGGCUUAACCUUACAACGCCGAAGGUGUUU